AGUACAUGUAACCUAAUCAUAUUACACAUACAUAUUUGCAUAUUUCCCCACCCUUUUAACAAUUUCCUUUUACUGGGUAAACAUGUUGGGUGCUAACCGAAAAAACAAAUCAUACAAGAGCUGGACUCAAACCAGAUGAUGGUUCCAAACUGGCUGCGUAGUCUCGAGCCCACAAAUCGUAAUGUAUAAUUUCCUCCAGCGAUGGAGAAGACACCAACUCUUCCCGGUGCUUCGCGCAUGUUAACUCCACAAUCUUGAAAAUAUCCAAGUAGCUAAUUCUCUCACUAAUAAAUAAUUCCACUGCCUUCUCAUUUGCUGCACUUAGAACUCCA
Molecule: unclassified non-coding RNA, 332 nt
Filed under: Hevea brasiliensis (rubber tree)
Lineage: Eukaryota; Viridiplantae; Streptophyta; Magnoliopsida; Malpighiales; Euphorbiaceae
Source: RNAcentral